GACGAACGCUGGCGGUGGGCUUAACACAUGCAAGUCGAACGGUGAAGCGCCAUCAGCUUGCGCGGGUGUGGGGGAGUGGCGAACGGGUGGGUAACAAGAGAGUAAUCUGCUCUCUCCUGCUGGAUAACCGCAUGAAAGUGUGGCUAAUACGGCAUACUACGUGCCUGUCGAAUGAUGGGUCUGGCGAAGCUAGCGCUACGGAGGGGGCUGAGCUCGCGGCCUAUCGGCUUGUUGGUGUGGUGCUGGCCUAGCAAGGCGGUGUAGAUUAGCCGGCCUGAGAGGAUGAGCGGUACCAGUAGGACUGAGACACGGAGCCGACUCCUACGGGAGGCAGCGGGGAGGAUUAUGGCAUGAGGGGCGCAAUGCUGAUGCAGCGACGCGGCGUGAGAGAUGGAGGUCUUCGGGUUGUGAACCUCUGUUGCGAGUGAAGCGGACCUGCCUCGUAUGUGGGUGGGUUGACGGUAGCUGGAGAAGAAGCGCCGGCUAACUACGUG
RNAcentral lists this ribosomal RNA (494 nucleotides) under uncultured bacterium. RNAcentral's name for it is "partial 16S ribosomal RNA". It matches the Rfam family "Bacterial small subunit ribosomal RNA", at positions 28 to 507 of the family's 1533-position model. The record is from RNAcentral.